AUCGCACCUGGCCACCAGGACAAGGUUGUUGCUGCCCCCUGUAGGGUACAGCAUCGAGCCAUAUGUGACCCAGAAACAUUUUGCAGGCAACCGAGUAUUGUGAAGAAUCGUGAAGAAACCCUGCAAGGUGCUGCACCCAAAACAGGGGACCAAUUCAAGGCUAUCUGGAACUCCUUAAUUCAACAGGGGACCACAUUUGGAGUACUGAAUCCAACAGGCAGUCAUUUAGAGAACUAGUACA
Long non-coding RNA from Anguilla anguilla (European eel), 241 nucleotides. RefSeq lists it as uncharacterized. NCBI's taxonomy places the organism in Eukaryota, Metazoa, Chordata, Actinopteri, Anguilliformes, Anguillidae. The transcript is spliced from 3 exons. The record is from RefSeq and is a predicted model, not a curated record.